RNAcentral lists this unclassified non-coding RNA (267 nucleotides) under Hevea brasiliensis (rubber tree). Lineage: Eukaryota; Viridiplantae; Streptophyta; Magnoliopsida; Malpighiales; Euphorbiaceae. The record is from RNAcentral.
GGAUUUGCGUGAUACAUAGGUAUGACCUUAGACUAUUGUUUGCUUGGUUUUAAGAAUGUUUGCAAAGGGGAAUGGAUCAUAGAUACAAGUGCUUCAAAUUACAUGAUUUCUUACCCUUUUAUUUGAUUCUGAUAACAUAUUUACAAGUAGUAAACCCGUGUUUCUUCCUGAUGGUUCUAAACAAUAUAUAGCCAAAGUAGGUAUUGUCACUCUGCAUCCCAAGUUGCAUUUGACCAAUGUUUUUUACCUCCUAAAGUUUAAGUGCAA